GCCUAACACAUGCAAGUCGAACGGUAACAGAAAGCAGCUUGCUGCUUUGCUGACGAGUGGCGGACGGGUGAGUAAUGUCUGGGAAACUGCCCGAUGGAGGGGGAUAACUACUGGAAACGGUAGCUAAUACCGCAUAACGUCGCAAGACCAAAGAGGGGGACCUUCGGGCCUCUUGCCAUCGGAUGUGCCCAGAUGGGAUUAGCUAGUAGGUGGGGUAAAGGCUCACCUAGGCGACGAUCCCUAGCUGGUCUGAGAGGAUGACCAGCCACACUGGAACUGAGACACGGUCCAGACUCCUACGGGAGGCAGCAGUGGGGAAUAUUGCACAAUGGGCGCAAGCCUGAUGCAGCCAUGCCGCGUGUAUGAAGAAGGCCUUCGGGUUGUAAAGUACUUUCAGCGGGGAGGAAGGGAGUAAAGUUAAUACCUUUGCUCAUUGACGUUACCCGCAGAAGAAGCACCGGCUAACUCCGUGCCAGCAGCCGCGGUAAUACGGAGGGUGCAAGCGUUAAUCGGAAUUACUGGGCGUAAAGCGCACGCAGGCGGUUUGUUAAGUCAGAUGUGAAAUCCCCGGGCUCAACCUGGGAACUGCAUCUGAUACUGGCAAGCUUGAGUCUCGUAGAGGGGGGUAGAAUUCCAGGUGUACCGGUGAAAUGCGUAGAGAUCUGGAGGAAUACCGGUGGCGAAGGCGGCCCCCUGGACGAAGACUGACGCUCAGGUGCGAAAGCGUGGGGAGCAAACAGGAUUAGAUACCCUGGUAGUCCACGCCGUAAACGAUGUCGACUUGGAGGUUGUGCCCUUGAGGCGUGGCUUCCGGAGUUAACGCGUUAAGUCGACCGCCUGGGGAGUACGGCCACAAGGUUAAAACUCAAAUGAAUUGACGGGGGCCCGCACAAGCGGUGGGGCAUGUGGUUUAAUUCGAUGCAACGCGAAGAACCUUACCUGGUCUUGACAUCCACGGAAGUUUUCAGAGAUGAGAAUGUGCCUUCGGGAACCGUGAGACAGGUGCUGCAUGGCUGUCGUCAGCUCGUGUUGUGAAAUGUUGGGUUAAGUCCCGCAACGAGCGCAACCCUUAUCCUUUGUUGCCAGCGGUCCGGCCGGGAACUCAAAGGAGACUGCCAGUGAUAAACUGGAGGAAGGUGGGGAUGACGUCAAGUCAUCAUGGCCCUUACGACCAGGGCUACACACGUGCUACAAUGGCGCAUACAAAGAGAAGCGACCUCGCGAGAGCAAGCGGACCUCAUAAAGUGCGUCGUAGUCCGGAUUGGAGUCUGCAACUCGACUCCAUGAAGUCGGAAUCGCUAGUAAUCGUGGAUCAGAAUGCCACGGUGAAUACGUUCCCGGGCCUUGUACACACCGCCCGUCACACCAUGGGAGUGGGUUGCAAAAGAAGUAGGUAGCUUAACCUUCGGGAGGGCGCUUACCACUUUGUGAUUCAUGACUGGGGUGAA
This 1448-nucleotide ribosomal RNA is filed under the name uncultured organism. Its description in RNAcentral is "16S ribosomal RNA". It matches the Rfam family "Bacterial small subunit ribosomal RNA". The record is from RNAcentral.